RNAcentral lists this ribosomal RNA (352 nucleotides) under Lachnospiraceae bacterium. Its description in RNAcentral is "bacterial SSU rRNA". It matches the Rfam family "Bacterial small subunit ribosomal RNA", at positions 9 to 353 of the family's 1533-position model. Lineage: Bacteria; Bacillati; Bacillota; Clostridia; Lachnospirales; Lachnospiraceae. The record is from RNAcentral.
GAGUUUGAUCCUGGCUCAGGAUGAACGCUGGCGGCGUGCUUAACACAUGCAAGUCGAACGGACUCAUAUUGAAACCUAGUGAUGUAUGAGUUAGUGGCGGACGGGUGAGUAACGCGUGGAGAACCUGCCGUAUACUGGGGGGAUAACACUUAGAAAUAGGUGCUAAUACCGCAUAAGCGCACAGCUUCGCAUGAAGCAGUGUGAAAAACUCCGGUGGUAUACGAUGGAUCCGCGUCUGAUUAGCUGGUUGGCGGGGUAAAGGCCCACCAAGGCGACGAUCAGUAGCCGGCCUGAGAGGGUGAACGGCCACAUUGGGACUGAGACACGGCCCAAACUCCUACGGGAGGCAGCA